RNAcentral lists this ribosomal RNA (503 nucleotides) under uncultured bacterium. RNAcentral's name for it is "partial 16S ribosomal RNA". It matches the Rfam family "Bacterial small subunit ribosomal RNA", at positions 28 to 523 of the family's 1533-position model. The record is from RNAcentral.
GAUGAACGCUAGCGGCAGGCCUAACACAUGCAAGUCGAGGGGUAGCAGGAUUAAGCUUGCUUAAUUGCUGACGACCGGCGCAUGGGUGCGUAACGCGUAUGCAACCUACCUUAUACUGGGGUAUAGCCCGGAGAAAUUCGGAUUAAUCCCCCAUAGUACUAAUGAAUCGCAUGGUUUAUUAGUUAAAGCAUUGCGGUAUAAGAUGGGCAUGCGUCCUAUUAGCUAGAUGGUGAGGUAACGGCUCACCAUGACUACGAUAGGUAGGGGGCCUGGGAGGGUGGUCCCCCACACUGGUACUGAGACGCGGACCAGACUCCUACGGGAGGCAGCAGUGAGGAAUAUUGGUCAAUGGGCGCAAGCCUGAACCAGCCAUGCCGCGUGCAGGAAGAAUGCCCUAUGGGUUGUAAACUGCUUUUAUUUGGGAAUAAACCUCUUUACGUGUAGAGAGCUGAAGGUACCAAAUGAAUAAGCACCGGCUAACUCCGUGCCAGCCGCCGCCGUAA